GACAGAGGGGGCAAGCGUUGCUCGGAAUUACUGGGCGUAAAGGGCGCGUAGGCGGGAUGGCAAGUCGGUCGUGAAAUCCCUCGGCUCAACCGAGGAACGUCGAUCGAUACUGCUGUUCCUGAGGAUUGCAGAGGAGACUGGAAUUCCCGGUGUAGCGGUGAAAUGUGUAGAGAUCGGGAGGAACACCGGUGGCGAAGGCGGGUCUCUGGGCAAUUCCUGACGCUGAGGCGCGAAAGCGUGGGGAGCAAACAGG
This 253-nucleotide ribosomal RNA is filed under the name uncultured bacterium. RNAcentral describes it as "partial 16S ribosomal RNA". It matches the Rfam family "Bacterial small subunit ribosomal RNA", at positions 524 to 776 of the family's 1533-position model. The record is from RNAcentral.